Neoarius graeffei (lesser salmon catfish) is the source of this 323-nucleotide long non-coding RNA. RefSeq lists it as uncharacterized. Lineage: Eukaryota; Metazoa; Chordata; Actinopteri; Siluriformes; Ariidae. The record is from RefSeq and is a predicted model, not a curated record. The transcript has 2 exons.
AUUGUUUCUUUCUGAAUGGUUUUGAUAAUCUCUGGCAACUUUUUGAGAUAAGCCAAUCAGAACGCGAGUAUCGAGUCAUGUGACCUCCGGUGAGGUUCGGAUCAGAAAUUUCAAACAAAUAUGGCGGCCGCUCAGUGUCAGUGGAGUGAAGAGAUGGAGAGAUUCCUCAUCUGUUUUUAUGCCGGCAUCUGAUGGAUGAACCUGAAGUGACACUCCAUCAUCUGUGUGUGCAUCAGUUCAGCCGGAGGAUCUCCACUUAUCCAGUGGAAGCGAUCUGUCUGUAGUGUGUCUCGUAACAGGGCAGGAUGGUUGGUAGUAGGGCC